Molecule: non-coding RNA, 136 nt
Filed under: Leucobacter sp. UCD-THU
Lineage: Bacteria; Bacillati; Actinomycetota; Actinomycetes; Micrococcales; Microbacteriaceae
Also listed under: 1 other name
Description: FMN riboswitch aptamer (RFN element)
Rfam family: FMN riboswitch aptamer (RFN element)
About the family: The RFN element is a highly conserved domain that is found frequently in the 5'-untranslated regions of prokaryotic mRNAs that encode for flavin mononucleotide (FMN) biosynthesis and transport proteins. This element is a metabolite-dependent riboswitch that directly binds FMN in the absence of proteins. In Bacillus subtilis, the riboswitch most likely controls gene expression by causing premature transcription termination within the 5' untranslated region of the ribDEAHT operon and precluding access to the ribosome-binding site of ypaA mRNA.
Source: Rfam by way of RNAcentral
GGCGUGUUCCGGGGUCGGUGUGAUUCCGAACCGGCGGUGACAGCCCGCGAACCUCGCACCCGCGAGGCCGAAUCGGUGAAAUUCCGGUGCCGACGGUGAUGGGCGCGAGCCCUAGUCCGGAUGAGAGGAACGCUGA